AGCAGAUCCUGUUUGCAACCCAUUGCCUCGAUUACAUCAUCAGUCUCACUGCAGGUGCCAGAGGCAACCAGAGAGAACUACCUCACAGGUUCCCCAGCAACCUACCUCAGUGACCAGCUACUUAUUUUUUUUUUCGACUUUUACAAACUGUUUAUUUUCCGUCAACCUUUUCCAUUUCUAUUUCCAUUUUGUGUGCCUUUGUGGAAGACCAGCUUAAGACCACUCAGUGGUUGUUCCUACCCAUUCAGUGGCCUGAGCAGUGGGAGCUGCAGACCAGUCUUCAGUGGCCGGCUGGGCGCUCCAGUCUUCAGUAGGGAACUGCCGAAUAGGCACCGAGGGCGCCUGCACGCCUUCAGACCAGUCUGCGACUUCCGGCUGAGUAGCAGUGAACUCAGGAGCUGGAGCUGUCCAUUCACCCUGAAAUUCCUCCUUGGUCACAGCCUUUUCAGCAGCGACCUGCUCUUCCUUUUCAAUCUCUUCAGGAUCUCUGUAGAAGUAGAGAUCAGGCAUGACCUCCCAUGGGUCUUCUCGGGAAAUGGUGCCACGCAUGCACAGAACUUCCCUGGCCAGCAUCCACCACAUCAGACCCACUGAGUGAGCUCCCUUGUUGUUGCAAGGGAUGGCAAUGUCCACAUAGCACAGAGGAGAGUCUGUGUUACACAGAGCAAUGGUAGGCAGGUUAACAAAGGACGCCUCUGUAAGAGGCUGGUGGUCAGCCCUGGGAUCAGUAACCACCAGAAGUCUUGGCUCCCGGAAGGCUGCCUGGAUCUGGUUAGUGAAGGUUCCAGGAGUGAAGCAGCCGGCAAUAGGAGUGGCUCCGGUAGCAGCAGCAAAUUUCAGCACAGCUCGCUGGCCAGUAUUCCUGGACGAUAUGACACUGACAUCAGCUGGGUUUUCAAUGGCAACAAUGGCACGAGCUGCCAACAGAAGCUUCUCCCAGGUUCUCUUCAGAUUUAUGGUGUAGAUACCAUCACUUUUCCUUUUGUAGAUGUACUGUUCCAUUUGAAAGUCAAGGUUGGUGCCACCUAAAUGGGUGCCUGCUGCAAGGAAUUUGAGGACAUCCUCCUCCUUCAUUUGCAGGACAUCAAGGGCUCCGGACAUUGUGAAAGUUUCCCUUUAAGUUACGACGGGAACGCAAAACAACGCCGUAUGGACCCUUCCCCGGGUAGCUUGGAAAGGACCCAGCUACUUAAUUUUAAAUUACAAGUAUUUCAUAUACAGAUGUAUAUAUGCCCAUACUUAUAUGAAUAGAUAAAAG
This 1258-nucleotide long non-coding RNA is filed under the name Zalophus californianus (California sea lion). RNAcentral describes it as "lncRNA (ENSZCAG00015001301.1)". The record is from RNAcentral. Lineage: Eukaryota; Metazoa; Chordata; Mammalia; Carnivora; Otariidae.